UACAGAACGAACGCUGGCGGCAUGCCUAACACAUGCAAGUCGAACGAGACCUUCGGGUCUAGUGGCGCACGGGUGCGUAACGCGUGGGAACCUGCCUUUAGGUUCGGAAUAACUCAGAGAAAUUUGAGCUAAUACCGGAUAAUGUCUUCGGACCAAAGAUUUAUCGCCUUUAGAUGGGGCCCGCGUUGGAUUAGCUAGUUGGUGGGGUAAAGGCCUACUAAGGCGACGAUCCAUAGCUGGUCUGAGAGGAUGAUCAGCCACACUGGGACUGAGACACGGCCCAGACUCCUACGGGAGGCAGCAGUGGGGAAUAUUGGACAAUGGGCGAAAGCCUGAUCCAGCAAUGCCGCGUGAGUGAUGAAGGCCUUAGGGUUGUAAAGCUCUUUUACCCGAGAUGAUAAUGACAGUAUCGGGAGAAUAAGCUCCGGCUAACUCCGUG
RNAcentral lists this ribosomal RNA (439 nucleotides) under uncultured bacterium. RNAcentral describes it as "bacterial SSU rRNA". It matches the Rfam family "Bacterial small subunit ribosomal RNA", at positions 26 to 507 of the family's 1533-position model. The record is from RNAcentral.